This 253-nucleotide ribosomal RNA is filed under the name uncultured bacterium. RNAcentral's name for it is "partial 16S ribosomal RNA". It matches the Rfam family "Bacterial small subunit ribosomal RNA", at positions 524 to 776 of the family's 1533-position model. The record is from RNAcentral.
UACAGAGGUCUCAAGCGUGGUUCGGAUUCAUUGGGCGAAAAGGGUGCGUAGGUGGCGCGAUAAGUCGGGUGUGAAAUCUCGGAGCUUAACUCCGAAAUUGCAUUCGAUACUGCCGUGCUUGAGGACUGGAGAGGAGACUGGAAUUCAUGGUGUAGCAGUGAAAUGCGUAGAGAUCAUGAGGAAGACCAGUGGCGAAGGCGGGUCUCUGGACAGUUCCUGACACUGAGGCACGAAGGCCAGGGGAGCAAACGGG